UAUCUCCUACAGUGUCCGACAGUGUGCUGGGUGUUUCCUGAACCUGUAUUACCCCCGGGGGCUGAUGUCUGCCUUGGUGAGCAUGCCCGUUUUAUACGGGAAGCCUGAUUGGCAAGCCGUGCCCCCACUUGAACCGCCGGUUCAAGGACGAAAGCGUGCAUCGGCACAGGCGGGAGAUGC
RNAcentral lists this non-coding RNA (180 nucleotides) under Methylovulum sp. RNAcentral's name for it is "6S RNA". It matches the Rfam family "6S / SsrS RNA". From Rfam's summary of the family: E. coli 6S RNA was the first non coding RNA to be sequenced, but its function was unknown until recently. It consists of 184 nucleotides that fold into an extended hairpin structure with a large single-stranded internal bulge. The record is from RNAcentral. Lineage: Bacteria; Pseudomonadati; Pseudomonadota; Gammaproteobacteria; Methylococcales; Methylococcaceae.